GUGCUUGCUUUAGCAGCACAUAUGCUGAAAUUGGAAUGAUACAGAGAAGAUUAGCAUGGCCUCUGCACAAGGAUGAUGUGCAAAUCCGUGAAGCAUUCCAUAUUUUU
Molecule: small nuclear RNA, 107 nt
Organism: Trichosurus vulpecula (common brushtail)
Lineage: Eukaryota; Metazoa; Chordata; Mammalia; Diprotodontia; Phalangeridae
Source: RefSeq, a predicted model, not a curated record